This is a long non-coding RNA of Chelonia mydas (Green sea turtle), 946 nucleotides long. RefSeq lists it as uncharacterized. The record is from RefSeq and is a predicted model, not a curated record. The transcript is spliced from 3 exons. NCBI's taxonomy places the organism in Eukaryota, Metazoa, Chordata, Testudines, Cheloniidae.
CCUUUGAAUGGGAAGGACCUAGCUGCUUGAAGGAGUAUAAGGUGUCUUCACUCCCCCUCUAAACCAGGUCAGUUUUGUAACCAGCUCAGCCUCCUUCUCAGUUGUGGGAUUGAGAGCCUUCAAAGCGAUGUACCACCAUCAGGGAAAAUAUGGAGAGGGCGACUCUUCCCCCUCCCAUGGCAGAGGCGUGUGAAGAGGUCCAAGACUGAACAGUGUCCAGAUUCCUCCCUGAACAUCUGCCUUUUGUCAGCUGUGAGAUCUGCGCAGGAAGCGAGUCCUGCUGAAUAAUGCAUCAUGCCGACCUCAUAAAGAGCAGCAUGAACCUCGGAUGGAAGAAAGCUGGCGGGUCUGACCCUCCCCAGCUGAUCUGCCUGCUUUUAGCAGGGGACAGUGUGAUGCAUGGCUAGAAGGGAUUAAACAGCCUGCAAAAUAACCCUCAGAAGGUGUGUGGGGAGAUAAUGUUGGUGGUUUUGUCUUUACAUAUGUAUAAGUAGGGUCAACAAUGUAAUCAACAGUCCCUCAUAUGCUGUGUUCUGACAAUUCAGGGGUCAAAAGAUCCUAACAUUUAGACGAUUUGUAAACACAGAAUAUCUCAGUAUUUAUCUCUUUGAACUGUAUUGUGAAUAGCCAUAUGUUAAUUCUGUAGCUAAGUACUGAUGAUGGACCUCCUUCAAAAUCAUCCUAAUUACCUUUUGUUACCUGAGGAACUCCAACUUUUCAAAAGACAUGAAAUUGUAUAAAAGAUCUUUGGAUCCUGAUUCUGUCCUCUCAGAUCUGCUUAAGCUUCAUCGGGGGAAGUUUUGAGUUGCAAGACUGAGGUCCCAAUUACGCUGCUAUUCCCUGAAUAUGAGAUUUGGACAGUGGACUAUGACCUAUGAACUAUUUCUGAAGGAAAGCUUUGUAGUUGCAAAGUUUCUGCUGCGAAUCUGCACCUCAACAAAUUGAA